Molecule: signal recognition particle RNA, 89 nt
Filed under: Marinobacter sp.
Lineage: Bacteria; Pseudomonadati; Pseudomonadota; Gammaproteobacteria; Pseudomonadales; Marinobacteraceae
Description: partial signal recognition particle sRNA small type
Rfam family: Bacterial small signal recognition particle RNA
About the family: The signal recognition particle (SRP) is a universally conserved ribonucleoprotein involved in the co-translational targeting of proteins to membranes. Archaeal SRP consists of a 7S RNA and homologues of the eukaryotic SRP19 and SRP54 proteins.
Source: RNAcentral
CCUCCGCAACAUGAAACCGUGAACCCGGUCAGGCCCGGAAGGGAGCAGCCGAAGCGGUGGAUGUGUGUGCCGGGGGAUCGCUGGUGGGG